AUGUAUUACAUUCAAACACAUCGAUGGAUAUCACCAUAUUCUAUAUGGUGCACAUGUCUGGUUAUAGUUGACUAAAAUAGUACUAAACAGAUUUGGAUUUAAUUUUUUGUUAGCAUGGCGAGCGGUGUUGAUAAUGAAUUAUUAGUGAAAAAUGAUGAGCUUUUGACUUUAGAUGCUCUUUUAGCAGAAGUUGAUACGGAAUUAAAGAGUGUUGCACCCCAGUUUAGUGGAAAUAGCUUAAGAAAAAUUGAUGUCGACAAUGUGGAGAAUUUCUUGCUCUUAAAAUUCAAUGAGUAUAGUGGCCAUGUAAAUGAACCGUUUUCCACAGCUAAUGAUGGUUUUGGCAAGGAUAUAGAUACGAAAAAAGAGUUAAAAAGUAUAACUAAAAAUUUAAAUGGCAAAGAAACUCUGAAAGAUAAAAAAAUAACUAACAGAUGCAAAUAUAUGGAGGCCUCAUUGAAAUCCAAUGAACAUACAUAUGUAUAUUUUGACCCCAUUUUUGGUUUAAGAAUACUGGGUCCAAAAAUAUCAAGUGCAUUGUUAUUAGAACGAAUGGCGGGUCGAAAAUUAGUUACAUUCAACGAAUUAUCAAGACAAAUGGACCUAAAAACGGCAUCUGACUGGGUUAUCGCUGCGGUGUUAAUAUCUAAGGAAGUUAAAUGUAGUUCAAAAAAUUUAAGCCGUUUUACAAUUUGGAGGUUAUCGGAUCUUCAAGGAAAUAUGAAAACUAUUUCAGUAUUACUGUUUCAAAAUGCUCACAAUGAAUUGUGGAAGACAUCUCCAGGUACCUGUGUGGCUAUUCUUAACCCAACUUUUAUCGAAAAAAAAUCCUACACGCAAGACAUUGCUAAUCUUUCAAUUGAAACUGCAAAUAAUGUGUUAAUUUUGGGUAAAUCUAAGGAUUUUGGUAUAUGCAAAGCAAAAAAAAUGAAUGGACAACAAUGUACCAAUUUUAUUAAUUUGCAAGACAGUGAUGUUUGUGUUUUUCAUAUUAAAAAGGAGUUUACAAAAGCUCUUGGACCUUUUGCUGCAAAAAAAACUAAGUUUGAUCAAAAAAUUCAGACUGCUUGUAGUAUCACAUCUGGGCAGAUUAGUAACAAAAAACUAUUAUAUAAAGAUAGACUAAUAUUGGAUUCAUUAAGCAACACUAAAAUAACAGAAAAUAAAAUGACGAAUGAAUGUACUCUAAAAUCUAAUGUUUCAUCUGUAACUCAAAAAUAUAAAAAUUAUGGAAUUGCUACCGAAGUAGUAGCAGAUGAAAAGCAGCGAAAAACAGACUUGGAACGCGUUAAAUCACUCUAUAUGACACCGAAUUUCUCUAAUAUUUUUUCACAAAAUCAAAGCAGAAUAGAAUUUAAAGUUACAGACACACAUCAAAAAGCCAAGGAUAAAGCUUUUGAAGUAUUAAAAAGGUGUCCCAUUGAAAAAGUUAAUCCUAAUUCAAUUCGUGGAACAGUUGGAGGAAAGAAACGUGUAUUAGACGUACUUAAUGGAUCGGAAAAUUCUAAACGCCGGAAGAUUGAAGAAAACCAUGAUAUGCAUAUAUCAGAUAUAUUUGAAACUGGAUCAAACCAUAGAGAAUUGGUAAACGUACGACAAAAGCAAGAAGAAGACAAAUAUUUUAUUAGGUUAGAAAAGAAAGAAGCAAUGGAAGAAAAGGGAAGAAUUUAGUAUACCGUCCCAGGAUUUCAAGGAUAAAAAGGAUAUGGUCGGAUAGAGGAGAUUAUCCUGAUCAAGGAUAUAUAUAGUUAUAGCCGCAGGAAGCUUAUAGUUUUCGAGAUAUUCGCGUUUAAAGUUGAAAAUUUGCAAUAUUUUAAUUACAUAUUUUCGAUAUAUAAAAUUAAUUUUUCACUUUUAUAUCCACUAACACUUCACUAAUUCAUUUGUACACAUUUAUUUUAUAUGAUUUAGUGCAAAAAUAGCUUUUAAUAUACAUUUAAACUAUUGUUGUAUUGUGAUUAUUUAAGAAUAACAAAUGAAUUACAAACUGUCAAAUAAUCAAUGUUACCUUAUCGACAUCAUUUGUAAUAAUGUGAACAGAUUAUACCCCAAAUACGAGAAUUAACAACCUAUAAAAAAAUAACCCUGGUCGGUCCAACACCGGGGUCUAUCAAAUUUUUUUCGCGUAGAACUCCUAUUUGCGUGGGCGGCCGCGCUUCAAAAAAAAUAACCCUGGUCGGUCCAACACCGGGGUGUAUCAAUUUUUUUCGCGUAGAACUCCAUUUUGCGUGGGCGGCCGCGCUUCAAAAAAAAUAACCCUGGUCGGUCCAACAUCGGGGUGUAUCAAAUUUUUUUUGCGUAGAACUCCUUUUUGCGUGGGCGGCCUUCGGCCGCACUUCAAAAAAAAAUAACCCUGGUCGGUCCAACACCGGGGUGUAUCAAAUUUUUUUCGCGUAGAACUCCUUUUUGCGUGGGCGGCCUUCGGCCGCGCUUCAAAACAAGAUAACCCUGGUCGGUCCAACACCGGGGUGUAUCAAUUUUUUUCGCAUAGAACUCCUUUUUGCGUGGGCGGCCUUCGGCCGCACUUCAAAAAAAAAUAACCCUGGUCGGUCCAACACCGGGGUGUAUCAAAUUUUUUUCGCGUAGAACUCCUUUUUGCGUGGGCGGCCUUCGGCCGCACUUCAGAAAAAAUAACCCUGGUCGGUCCAACACCGGGGUGUAUCAAUUUUUUUCGCGUAGAACUCCUUUUUGCGUGGGCGGCCUUCGGCCGCGCUUCAAAAAAAAUAACCCUGGUCGGUCCAACAUCGGGGUGUAUCAAAUUUUUUUUGCGUAGAACUCCUUUUUGCGUGGGCGGCCUUCGGCCGCGCUUCAAAAAAAUAACCCUGGUCGGUCCAACACCGGGGUGUAUCAAAUUUUUUUCGCGUAGAACUCCUUUUUGCGUGGGCGGCCUUCGGCCGCACUUCAAAAAAAAAUAACCCUGGUCGGUCCAACAUCGGGGUGUAUCAAAUUUUUUUCGCGUAGAACUCCUUUUUGCGUGGACGGCCUUCGGCCGCACUUCAAAAAAAAAAAAGGUCCAACACAGGGGUGUAUUAAAUUUUUUUCGCGUAGAACUUCUUUUUGCGAAAAAGAUCUGAUACACCUCGGCGUUUGACCGAUCAGGGUUAUUUUUUUGAUAGGUUGUUGAUUCUCAUAUUUGGGGUAUAAUCUGUUCAGUUUAUUUCAUUUAGUUAUUUUAAAAGUGAUGUCGGUAAGGUAACACUGAUUAUUUGUCAGUUUGUAAUUCAUUUGUUAUUCUUAAAUAAUUAUAAUUCAACAAUAAUUUAAAUGUAUAUUAAAAGCUAUUUUUGCACUAUAUUAUAUAAAAUAAAUGUGUACAAAUGAAUUAGUGAAGUGUUAGGGGAUAUAAAAGUGAAAAAUAUAAGUGCAAAAUUAAUUUUAUAUAUCGAAAAUAUGUAAUUAAAAUAUUGCAAAUUUUCAACUUUAAACGCGAGUAUCUCGAAAACUAUAAGCUUCCUGCGGCUAUAACCAUAUACAUAUAUUCGUGAUCUGAAGAGUCUCCUCUAUCCGACCAUAUUCAUUUUAUUCCCGAAAUCCUGGGACGGUAUACUAAAGCCGACCCGAGGAAAAAAUGCUAAAAACAUUUGCAAUAUCUUGCAAAGCUGUCAUAUGCAAGGAUUGUAAAUAUACUGCGUUUUCUGCCGCUGACCGUUGUAAAAAUGAGGAGCACUCUUUUAAAAUAAUAGACGCCGUAAAACGAUUUUUUCAAUGCAAAGGCUGUGGAAAUCGUACAAUUACGCUUUUUAAGCUUCCUAAAUUUAGUUGUUCUAACUGCAAAGGCUUCAGGUGGAAACGUAGUGCAAUGGUACGCGAUCGAAAGCUGAACGAUUUACCAAUACCAUUUUCUAUAAGAGGAGACGAAGAGAAAUUUUUAGGGACUACAAAUUCAAAACUGAAUGUUAAUCUCCUUAUGCCGUAAUAUUAACAAUAAGCAGUUAUUUGCUUAAUGAAGUAUUAAUAAAGCACUUUUGUCAAUUAUUAAUAAAUACAUUAGGGGGAUUCUCUAGCACUUGCAAAACUCUUGCACCCUGUGCCAGCUGUCAUUUUAUAUAAAGACAUAUUUCGCCGUUAAAUUGUUGAGGAAGUUAAGUUUUGAAUAGAUUUUAUAAUUUCUAUCUAAAUUUUAAAAAUGUAUAUAAGUUUUUUUUGUUUUAAGAAUGAAUUGCAGAUGGUGCGCCAAUUAGUAAUGGUAAUUUCAAAUAAAUUGCUCUUCAUAGACUUGCAUAUUUCGGUAUAGGAUUUUUGCAUUUUGUGUCAUCGUGCAAUCUUCCAAAAGCAAGAGAAUCCCCCUAUUAUGUCAAGAAAGACUUUACAAAGUUGCAAAAUAUGUAUGUAUAUUGUUUUACUUUGCAAAAAAUGGCAAAGUUCAAUGCAUAAACAAAUAAAGAAGAAAAAAAAGAAAUAUUAAAUUUUGUUACAAAUGAUGAUACGGGCUAAUAUACAUAUGUAUUAUAUAUAUGAAGUCUUAAUUGGGCUUUAAAAUAGACUUAAUAUUUCGUAUGAUAAACUUUAGCAUUUAGGCAUGAUCAGGUUUUAAGAUGGCUCCAUCCAUUGUAUGUAUUGCACCUAACCAAGGUGGAUUUGGAUGGAGCCUUCUAGCGCAAAUGGUCGGAGAGAUAUUCCUGUUUACAUAAAAAAAUACACACCCUCCGAGUGGAAGCUGAUAAUUGUGGGAAUCAGAAUUAAAAACGACAAAAAAGGGGUUGGUGGGGUAUGCAAAGAGGUGGCCAGUAUCAUGUGGAGACUCAUUGCACGCAGGACAUAUGUUUCCCGUGGCGGUUCCGCUCCAAACAGGUGGCUGCAGGGGUGAUUUCUACGAAAACAUCUCCAGGCAAUGUGUUCAUUAUGCUCCUUAACUAGGAGCAUAAGCGUCUCACUUUGUAGGUGUUCAAUCGGAAACAUCAGGACAUCAUCCUAUCGUAGUUCGGAGUAUUCUGACAAGUCUCAAGCUUCUUAAUCUGCGUUCCACUGCAUCCAGGCUACCAUAUUGGUAUGGCGUAUUUGAGGACCGGCCGGUCGAUUGCCUUGUAAAUUGCCAACAACGUUUCUUUGUCCUUUUCCCAUUUGCUGCCGGCUAGCGACUUGAGGAUUUAGUUGCGCCUCUGUACAUUGGCGAUAAUCGCGGUCGUAACUUUAACAAAAGAAAGAAUUUUGACGAAAUAUUUAUAACACGGCGUAUGUAUCUAGUCCCCUUCCUAAUGAACUACUCAUUUUCAAAAUCGGAGAUUUUUCGAAACUUCAAGUAACCACUUGACGUGGUUUGACCCAUAUUAUAAAAGUAAUUUUAACACUAUAUAAUAUAAAAUAAAUCGAUAGAAACGAAUUAGUGAAGUAUGAGUGGAUAUAGCAGUUAAAGAUAUAUGUAAGUGUAAAAUCCAUUAUGAGUCGGAGAAACACGCGUUUUAAAUAGUUAAAUUUUUGAACUUUAUAUUAUAUUAUAUCAUCUUAUCGUAGUUCGGAGUGUUCUGACAAGUCUCAAGCUUCUUAAUCUGCGUUCCACUGCAUCCAGGCUACCAUAUUGGUAUGGCGUAUUUGAGGACCGGCCGGUCGAUUGCCUUGUAAAUUGCCAACAACGUUUCUUUGUCCUUUUCCCAUUUGCUGCCGGCUAGCGACUUGAGGAUUUAGUUGCGCCUCUGUACAUUGGCGAUAAUCGCGGUCGUAACUUUAACAAAAGAAAAAAUUUUGACGAAAUAUUUAUAUCACGGCGUAUGUGUCUAGUCCCCUUCCUAAUGAACUACUCAUUUUCAAAAUCGGAGAUUUUUCGAAAUAUUCAGUGACCACUUGGCGUGGUUUGACCCAUAUUAUUAAAGUAAUUUUAACACUAUAUAAUAUAAAAUAAAUCGAUAGAAACGAAUUAGUGAAGUAUGAGUGGAUAUAGCAGUUAAA
RNA transcript from Bactrocera neohumeralis, 5883 nucleotides. It is a transcript of the gene named protein MCM10 homolog, with no coding region annotated. The transcript is spliced from 5 exons. NCBI's taxonomy places the organism in Eukaryota, Metazoa, Arthropoda, Insecta, Diptera, Tephritidae. The record is from RefSeq and is a predicted model, not a curated record.